AAUAAAGUUGUGAUUAGAAAAAGUAACGGUGAGUCAAUGUUAAGAGAGUUUGGGCCGGUGUGAACCAGACCAUUGAUACCGUGAAACACCUCUAUGAACUGAUGGGCUGAAUAAAGUAAGCCCCUCCGCAUGUUUAGCGUUAUCAGGGUUACCGUAACUGUUCUCGAAGUGGGCUUCGACGACUAGUUAUUGGCAACGUAAGGUUGGCAUCGUGAGGUGUCGGCAAAUUGAGGUGGAACCGCGAUUAUAUCGUCCUCGUA
This 260-nucleotide non-coding RNA is filed under the name Secundilactobacillus odoratitofui. RNAcentral's name for it is "Lactobacillus odoratitofui T-box sequence". It matches the Rfam family "T-box leader". From Rfam's summary of the family: Uncharged tRNA acts as the effector for transcription antitermination of genes in the T-box leader family. T-boxes are found upstream of many aminoacyl-tRNA synthetase genes and some amino acid biosynthetic genes usually in Gram-positive bacteria. The anticodon of a specific tRNA base pairs to a specifier sequence within the T-box motif, and the NCCA acceptor tail of the tRNA base pairs to a conserved bulge in the T-box antiterminator hairpin. Lineage: Bacteria; Bacillati; Bacillota; Bacilli; Lactobacillales; Lactobacillaceae. The record is from RNAcentral.